This 1742-nucleotide long non-coding RNA is filed under the name Helianthus annuus (common sunflower). RNAcentral describes it as "hypothetical non coding rna". The record is from RNAcentral. Lineage: Eukaryota; Viridiplantae; Streptophyta; Magnoliopsida; Asterales; Asteraceae.
UGAUGUAAAAAGGAUGAAGAAAUUAUUGUUAUUAUUACCAUGAAGAAGAGCAGAUAAGCUACCAGCAGGCAUGAAAUCAGAAACAAGCAAUUUCUCAUCCUUUGAAUAAUAAAAAGCUCUUAACGGAACCACAUUUUCGUUCUUCAUCUUCCCCAAAAUCUCCAUCUGUGCCUCAAACUCCUUCUUCGUCACCACCACAUCUUUCAACCGCUUCACCACCACCGUCGUACCUUCCUCCAGCACCGCCUUGUACGACGUCCCUACGCUACCCUUACCUAACACCUCCGCAGAUGCUCGCAACAAAUCCUCCAAAUCGAAGCUGUAUAUUCCUCCGUCGAAGAACACUAGCUUGUUUCUCUCACCUUCUGCUGACGCUCCGGUGACGUCAUCCUUCGAUGACGACGUUCCGGCUUCUGUAACCGCUCUGGUUGCUCCUCCGGCUGCCGGAGUUUGCACUGGUGGUUUUGGAGGCUGUUUCGCUUGUUGAUUACGUUUUUUUCGUAGGCAUAGUAACAGGAUUAGUAACAGUAGAGCGAGGAUUAACGCAGAUCCGACUGCUAUAGCGACGAUUGCUCCGGUUGAGAGCUUUUUAGACUUUUUUCCGACUGGAGGCGAUGAAAUCGACGACGGAGACGGCGCCGGAGACGGAAAAAAAGUAUUGUUACACGGCGGAAGAGGAUUUCCACACAGAUUUAUGUUACCGGAGAAUGCAGAUUCCGGAAAUCUAGCUAACGAUUUCGGAAUCGAACCGUUGAGUUUAUUAUUCGCUAGGUUUAAAUCGGAUAAACUCGCUAGGUUUAUACUCGGAAGCUGACCGGAAAAACUGUUGUUCUCUAACCUAAGUUCACUUAACCGUUUCAAAUUGUUAACAGAAAACGGAAUCUGACCGGAAAACUCAUUACCUGAAAGAUCUAACCGCUCUACACCACUCAUGUUCGUCACACUCGCCGGAAACUCACCGGAAAACUUAUUAUUCUGCAAAUAAACACUCCGAAUAUUACCGAGAUUCGCCAAAUCAUCAGGAAUGUUACCGGAGAGGCCAUUGGAUCUGAGAGAAAGUACACGGAGUUUCGUCAGCGUUCCGAUUGUAUUCGGCGGGAUUUCUCCGACGAGUCUGGCGCCGGGGAGGCGGAGGUAGAUGACGGAGGAGUUUGUGGCGUCGCAGGUGACGCCACGCCAGUUGCAAACGGAGUCCGAUGGAUUCCAUGAGUAGCGAGAGUCGUGUGGAAGCUUCGAGAUGAAGGUUUGAAGCGCUUGCUUUUCCUGAGUCAGAUCGGAUGUGACUCGGUGGUGGUGAAGGGUAAAAAUGGAAAAGAGAAAUAUUGUUGUGAACGGAGACAUUGUGAGAAAUGAGAAGUGGGAAAUAUGAACUGAGAAAUGUAUGUGUUGUUAUUAUUUUGGAGGUUUCCGGCGACAAGCGGCCAUGAGAGAGAGAGAUAUAGAUAUAGAGAGAGAAUGUAUGGUUUAUAGAGAGAGAGAAGAGAGUGAUAAAAGACGAGAGGAGGAGUGAGGUGUGGGAAUAUAAUAUUUGUUAAAAAAAGAAAAAGGAAAAAGGAAAAGGGGAAAACAGUGUCGUUUUUGCUGGCAAGCAACGAUUAAAUAUGAAAACGCUCCCUUUUAUUAUUAUCUAGAAAUCAUGUUUAUUUACACUUGUUUUACUUGGAGAUUAAUUUAUCUUUAAGGAGGGAUUAAAUGUUGAAGGUUUAAAUAUGGGUUUAAUGGUAUUGUGCUAUCCCAUGUGA